Molecule: microRNA precursor, 172 nt
Filed under: Pelobates cultripes (western spadefoot toad)
Lineage: Eukaryota; Metazoa; Chordata; Amphibia; Anura; Pelobatidae
Source: RNAcentral
CAGCAGACACAUUCCAGCCAAUCAGCAGCAGACAAUCCCUCCCAGACCCUCCCACCUCCUGGACAGCAUCCAUUUUACAUUCAUUGUCAAGCUGCAUUCUUAGUGAGCUGUCCAAGAGGUGGGAGGGUCUGGGAGGGAGGGUCUGCUGCUGAUUGGCUGGAAUGUGUCUGCU